This 1768-nucleotide long non-coding RNA is filed under the name Homo sapiens (human). RNAcentral describes it as "HSALNT0383421". The record is from RNAcentral. Lineage: Eukaryota; Metazoa; Chordata; Mammalia; Primates; Hominidae.
CAAAAUCCAUAACAUGUUAGCAGGACUUAUCUAGCUGCCUCCACAGAAUAGCCAAGCAACUCUACACCCGCUUUAGCCCCCACAAAAACAAGCGGAUUGCACUACAAAUAAUUUGCCUAUUUGGAAAAUGAAAGCUUCUCUGUAGUUUGAGGUCCUAUUUUUUCUUUAAGUUGUUACAGUCUUUUCAUGGUCCUUGAGGUCUAGGUUAGGUUUUUGUUUGGGGUAAUUUUUGUAUCCUAUGGAUACUAUUUAAUCUUUAGUAUUGAGUCAGUAUUUCUCACUUAGGCCUUAGGGGAAUACUGCCUGAAGUAUGUAGGGGGCAUGCGGAAUUCAGACGUGGCUUGGAAACUGCACCAUGGGUUCACCCAAGAAACAGACCAGAGGCAACACAUUCUAUCACUAAAACGUGUUCUCAGUUACACUUCCCUUCCAAAGAGGAGAAAAUAUACAAAGAGAAGAUGAAGAGACAACCAAAUUUACUCGUCAAAACAAGUUUCACAGCUCCUCCUGCUCCAGAAGGUUCCGUUUGCUUUAUGAAAAUGAAGCUGUCUUGUUUUCUGGUUCAUAAAUCAUUGUCAAGCGGAGCUAGAUAACAGAAACAAGUUCAGAUUCUGGAAUGAUUAUCCUUAGAGAUGAUGUAUUAAAUAUACAGAAUACAACUUGAUUUUCAUAAGCCACGUUGACUUUGCAGAACUAAGGCUGCAGGGGAAAAUUAUUUCAUAAGAGGAGGGGUGAGAGCUCGCAAAAUCUAACCAGGUGGGAACGAUGGGAGAGGGAAGGAAGUAGAGCAUUUUCACAUGUAAAGAUGUGUCUGCUUUCUCCAGUUUUCUCUCUAUUAUUUACCUAAUGUCAUUUAAGCAUUUGGUGCCUCUGUCUUCUAUUAACAAUAUGGGAAGCAUCUUUAGAAAAGAAGAGCUUCUCCUUCUUCCUAGAUUAACUACCGCUUUUCUUUCAUCCUCUUCUCUGAAUAUUGUGGUAUCAUGUAAAAUAUUUCUUCUACCUCUUCGUAACUUAACCUCUCCCCCUGCAAUGAGCUUGGUUUGAGUUGUACUUUUGGAGUUCCAUAUCUCAUACCCAGUAGGCUUUCUAAUGCCUCACCAGAGCCGCACAAUCCACGGGAGUGAAAUCUGGAGAAAAAUCACAGUGGAGUGAGAAAGAGUCACAGAAAUACCCUGAGAUCAGAAGUGUCUUUGUGGUAACUCAGGGAACAGGUUUCUUGCCACUGAAUGGUGCUGAAGCUGAUUUCCUUCUGAAUGAAGACUUCAGACCACCAAGCCAACUUAAAAAUGUAUUUUGCUGAAAAAGAGAGGUUUCUUCUGUGUAAAAUGUAUUUUACUUCCUAUUCAACUGCUUAGUUCCUAUUGGAGCUCUGUAUUAGUCUGUUCUCACGCUGCUAAUAAAGACAUACCCGAGACUGGGUAAGUAAUAAAGAAAAAGAGGUUUAAUGAUCUCACAGUUCCACGUGGCUGGAGAGGCCUCCCAAUCAUGGCAGAUGGAAAAAGCAUGUCUUACAGGGUGGCAGACAAGAGAAAAUGAGAAACAAGUGAAAAAGGUUUCCCCUUAUAAAACCAUCAGUUCUUGUGAAACUUAUUCACUACCACGAGAACAGUAUGGGAGAAACCACCCUUGUGAUUCAAUUAUGUCCCAACGGGUCCCUCCCACAACGUGUGGGAUUAUGGGAGCUACAAUUCAAGAUGAGAUUUGGGUGAGGACAAAGCUAAACCACAUCAAGCUCCAAAUCUCAUUUCAGACAUGAAGCCUCCUCUCC